GUAGCUCUGUGGAUACGCAUGUGGUCAGCAAAGACGAGCAGAAAUGAACCCAUGCUCGGUGCGGGCUGUCCUGCUUUCCUGAGCUCAGCUGCUCGAGUGUGUUUCAAGAAGAAUAAUAGUAAAAGCUGAAUGCCUCUGCCACUGAUCGCCGUCCCCUCAUGUCCUGAUUUAGUGAGAGCCACAGAGUGAUCCUGGCCACAUCUCAGAGGUCCUGGGGAGAUGGCAGUCAUCAAGUCAGACAAAAUCUCUGCUUUCAAGGAACUUAUAUUCUAGUGGAGGAAGACAGACAAUAAGCACAUUUAUAGUAUGUCGGUGGCGAAUGAAAACUAGGAAGAAAAAUAAAUCGAGUUAUAGGAAAGAUGAGCUAAUGAUGUCAUCCAGGGAGGUUGCCUGGCCAAACAGGGCCUCAUGGUGAGAAACAAAUUGCCAAAGGGGCGGAGAACAGUAUCUGCUGGUCAGAGGAUUCUCUCUCCGGGUCCUGAGCUCCAAGACCUGCAGGAACCCACUGCAGUCCGUGUCGGGCUGCAGACACUACCUGCAGCUUUUUACCUCUCCAGUCCCACAUACGCAGGAGAAUUGAUGUAUUUUCACACGGGAUGCCCCCUGACAGUUAAAAGACUGUUUGGCAAUCAAGGACACCAUACUGAUUCCAGCUGGGAACCAAGAUGAGUAAGAUGCAAUCCCUACCUCCAAGGAGGCCAAGACGGGAACAAGAACCUCUAGGUAUCAACUUCCACUUCUCUUCUCUGGAAAAUUUGAGGGCUGUCUCCAAACGGUGCUUCGAUUGCGAGUCAGAGGGAGAAGAAUGUUCAGGUCCCGUAAGCAGAAGCCCCCACAGAGUGUGUUUGCUGGUAACCAGCUUUUCUCAGGUUGUAAUGACUGAAGGUGAAUGAAGGAUUGAAGGCUUCGGGUGGAGAAUUAUCAAUCAGAUAGGGUGAAUAAACUCAAU
RNAcentral lists this long non-coding RNA (949 nucleotides) under Equus caballus (horse). Its description in RNAcentral is "lncRNA (ENSECAG00000059912.1)". The record is from RNAcentral. Lineage: Eukaryota; Metazoa; Chordata; Mammalia; Perissodactyla; Equidae.